GACGAACGCUGGCGGCGUGCCUAAUACAUGCAAGUAGAACGCACAGUUUAUACCGUAGCUUGCUACACCAUAGACUGUGAGUUGCGAACGGGUGAGUGACGCGUAGGUAACCUGCCUGGUAGCGGGGGAUAACUAUUGGAAACGAUAGCUAAUACCGCAUAAUAUUAAUUAUUGCAUGAUAAUUAAUUGAAAGGUGCAAUUGCACCACUACCAGAUGGACCUGCGUUGUAUUAGCUAGUAGGUGAGGUAACGGCUCACCUAGGCGACGAUACAUAGCCGACCUGAGAGGGUGAUCGGCCACACUGGGACUGAGACACGGCCCAGACUCCUACGGGAGGCAGCAGUAGGGAAUCUUCGGCAAUGGACGAAAGUCUGACCGAGCAACGCCGCGUGAGUGAAGAAGGGUUUCGGAUCGUAAAGCUCUGUUGUAAGAGAAGAACGGGUGUGAGAGUGGAAAGUUCACACUGUGACGGUAUCUUACCAGAAAGGGACGGCUAACUACGUG
This 505-nucleotide ribosomal RNA is filed under the name uncultured bacterium. RNAcentral's name for it is "partial 16S ribosomal RNA". It matches the Rfam family "Bacterial small subunit ribosomal RNA", at positions 28 to 507 of the family's 1533-position model. The record is from RNAcentral.